GCUGUCUGACUGCUGAAUUCCUACAACAUUUUGUGUGGCUACUGAGUGUAUGUUUGUGGCCCAUCCACUUUAAGGUUCAAUAUAUUGUGCAUUCAGAGAUGCUCUUCUGAACACUACUGCUGUAACACAUGGUCCUUUGUAGAAUCUCCGCCUUGGUGCUGUCCUGAUGGAAUUUAAUUAUUAUUGAGCGUGGGUUCUAUCCUGGCUGCUGCCUGACCUGUUGAGAUCCCCCAGCAUUACCUGUGUUGGCAAGAGGAUGAAGGAAUUGAUUGUGGACUUCAGUAAGGGGAUAUUGAGGGAACACACACACCAGUUUUCUUCGAGGGAUCAACAGAGGAAAAGAAAUGCCACAGAGGAUACCUGGCCUUACCUGCAUCCCGAUGACUGCAUAUAUGAAGAACAGCAUCACGAUGAGGAGUGCAACAUACGGAAGGGCCUGCAAAAAUGAAAACAAGGCCAAUGAAGCCUGACCCACAACCUGUCUGCUCUCUCCUCACACUCUCACCCAGCUGAGAUAGUAAACUUUAAAAGUAGGUACCCCCAGGCUAAAGAACAGCUUCUACCCCAUUUUAGUCAGAUGCUUGACAAUGAUAAGAUGGACUCGAGCCUAUUAUGAACUUGCAGUUUAUUGUCUACCUGCAGUGUCGCUUGUAAACUUUACUCUGCAGUGUCAUGUUUUACCCUGUGGACACAGCUGAGCACAUCCAUGAACUCUGUUACACUUCUCAAUGCCUCGGUAAAGCAGCCAGCUUAAUCACAGAGCCCAUCUGCCCUGGCCAUUCUCUCUCCUCUCAUUGAGCUGAAGAUACAAAAGUCUGAAAGCACGUACCACCGGGCUGGAGGACUCUCUGUUAUCAGAUCUCUUGGCAUUAUGACAAAAUCUCAUCUCUUGGCAAGAUCUACCUCAUUAUGAUCUUGCACUUUAUCUAGUUCCUUCAGUUUCUCCACCAGUGAUGGGGUAGACCUGUAUGAUUUUUAAUGUCCAGCAUAGUCUUGUGAUUAUAAAAAAGGUGAUUAAAAAAAACAAAGACAAAACCAUGUUUAGUUUGCCCCAUAGGAGCAUCUUAGCUCGCCAUCAUCUUAGCAAAAGUCCCCCAUUGUUAACGCAAACCACCCAUUUCACUAUGUUUCAAUUUACACAUAAUAAAUAAACCUGAAUCUGAAGAUAUGUUUAACAGGUGACUGCUAAGUGGAGGCUAGGCAAUGAAAUGGGUACUGAUUCAGGAUUGUUUAAUGUCAUUUCCAGUACACAAAUGUAAAGGAGAAUGAAAUAUUGUUACUCCUGAUCCAAUGCAGCACAAAAAAAACACAAUAAGACAAAUAACGCAAUAAAUAUAAAUACAAAACACAGUUUAUAUACAUAGAUUGAUUGUAUGUGUC
This is a long non-coding RNA of Hypanus sabinus (Atlantic stingray), 1380 nucleotides long. RefSeq lists it as uncharacterized. NCBI's taxonomy places the organism in Eukaryota, Metazoa, Chordata, Chondrichthyes, Myliobatiformes, Dasyatidae. The record is from RefSeq and is a predicted model, not a curated record. The transcript is spliced from 4 exons.